This 478-nucleotide ribosomal RNA is filed under the name uncultured bacterium. RNAcentral describes it as "partial 16S ribosomal RNA". It matches the Rfam family "Bacterial small subunit ribosomal RNA", at positions 28 to 523 of the family's 1533-position model. The record is from RNAcentral.
GACGAACGCCGGCGGCGUGCUUAACACAUGCAAGUCGAACGGUAAGGCUCUUCGGGGUACACGAGUGGCGAACGGGUGAGUAACACGUGGGUGAUCUGCCCUGCACUUCGGGAUAAGCCUGGGAAACUGGGUCUAAUACCGGAUAGGACUCCGGACUGCAUGGUCUGGGGUGGAAAGCUUUUGCGGUGUGGGAUGGGCCCGCGGCCUAUCAGCUUGUUGGUGGGGUGAUGGCCUACCAAGGCGACGACGGGUAGCCGGCCUGAGAGGGUGACCGGCCACACUGGGACUGAGAUACGGCCCAGACUCCUACGGGAGGCAGCAGUGGGGAAUAUUGCACAAUGGGCGCAAGCCUGAUGCAGCGACGCCGCGUGAGGGAUGACGGCCUUCGGGUUGUAAACCUCUUUCAGCAUCGACGAAGCGAAAGUGACGGUAGGUGCAGAAGAAGGACCGGCCAACUACGUGCCAGCCGCCGCCGUAA